Molecule: transfer RNA, 89 nt
Filed under: freshwater metagenome
Description: tRNA-Sec
Source: RNAcentral
AGAGGCGUUGGUCCAGGUAGGAACGAACCUGUCAAUGGUUCGCCUAGCUGCCGAGGCUGAGCGCUGGUUCCACAAGCCGGUUGUCGCUA